GGAGGGAUCAUUAGGAGGUUAGCAAACGUCCAGUUUGACAAACCACUGUGGUACGAUGCAUGUUGUUUUGGCGGCGUGGUGUGCGUGCAAGCGCGCAUGCGCCGCCAGCAUACAAACCCAAUCAACCAAUUUAUACUACUCAGCUGUUCUGAUUACACUAUUUCGAUAGCAUAAUCCUAUACAACUGCUAGCAACGGAUCACUCGGCUCUCGCGUCGAUGAAGAACGUAACAAAAUGCCAAAAUUAAUGCAACACGCAACACGUGAGUCAUCGAGUCUUUGAACGCAUAUUGCACCCGACAGGCUCGCUUGUCGGGUCUGCCUGUUUGAGUAUCAGUUUAACCCCAACAGCCGGCGGCGCUUGUGUAAAAGCAGGCGCCGGCAGCUUGUUGGUGCUCGCGGCGCGCAUCCGUGCGUGCGGCGGAUCUGGGGCUUCGGGGUUUCGCGCCCUGUGUCCUGAAAUGCAUUGGCCGACCGGCGCAUCAACUUUAGUGUUGUGCUUGGACCGAACCGAUUAGCAAUGUUAAUCAUCUGCAAAGGUGUCUUUGUUAACGCGGCGCGGUUAUUCCAAACAAGUGCAGCCAGAUGUCCACGCGUGCCACCCUGCACGCUGGCUGCCCUGUGGCGGCGAGCGUACACCUUCAAACCUUGAUCUCAAAUCAGGCAGGAUGACCCGCUGAAUUUAAGCAUAUCAAAAAUCGGGAAGGAAA
RNAcentral lists this ribosomal RNA (709 nucleotides) under Syncephalis sp. 1 HMH-2016. RNAcentral's name for it is "eukaryotic LSU rRNA". The stretch from base 183 to 335 matches the Rfam family "5.8S ribosomal RNA". Lineage: Eukaryota; Fungi; Zoopagomycota; Zoopagomycetes; Zoopagales; Piptocephalidaceae. The record is from RNAcentral.